RNAcentral lists this ribosomal RNA (495 nucleotides) under uncultured bacterium. Its description in RNAcentral is "partial 16S ribosomal RNA". It matches the Rfam family "Bacterial small subunit ribosomal RNA", at positions 29 to 506 of the family's 1533-position model. The record is from RNAcentral.
AUGAACGCUGGCGGCGUGCCUAAUACAUGCAAGUCGAGCGAACAGACGAGGAGCUUGCUCCUCUGACGUUAGCGGCGGACGGGUGAGUAACACGUGGAUAACCUACCUAUAAGACUGGGAUAACUUCGGGAAACCGGAGCUAAUACCGGAUAAUAUAUUGAACCGCAUGGUUCAAUAGUGAAAGACGGUUUUGCUGUCACUUAUAGAUGGAUCCGCGCCGCAUUAGCUAGUUGGUAAGGUAACGGCUUACCAAGGCGACGAUGCGUAGCCGACCUGAGAGGGUGAUCGGCCACACUGGAACUGAGACACGGUCCAGACUCCUACGGGAGGCAGCAGUAGGGAAUCUUCCGCAAUGGGCGAAAGCCUGACGGAGCAACGCCGCGUGAGUGAUGAAGGUCUUCGGAUCGUAAAACGCUGUUAUUAGGGAAGAACAAAUGUGUAAGUAACUAUGCACGUCUUGACGGUACCUAAUCAGAAAGCCACGGCUAACUACGU